GAUGAACGCUGGCGGCGUGCCUAAUACAUGCAAGUCGAGCGAAUGGAUUAAGAGCUUGCUCUUAUGAAGUUAGCGGCGGACGGGUGAGUAACACGUGGGUAACCUGCCCAUAAGACUGGGAUAACUCCGGGAAACCGGGGCUAACACCGGAUAACAUUUUGAACCGCAUGGUUCGAAAUUGAAAGGCGGCUUCGGCUGUCACUUAUGGAUGGACCCGCGUCGCAUUAGCUAGUUGGUGAGGUAACGGCUCACCAAGGCAACGAUGCGUAGCCGACCUGAGAGGGUGAGCGGCCACACUGGGACUGAGACACGGCCCAGACUCCUACGGGAGGCAGCAGUAGGGAAUCUUCCGCAAUGGACGAAAGUCUGACGGAGCAACGCCGCGUGAGUGAUGAAGGCUUUCGGGUCGUAAAGCUCUGUUGUUAGGGAAGAACAAGUGCUAGUUGAAUAAGCUGGCACCUUGACGGUACCUAACCAGAAAGCCACGGCUAACUACGUGCCAGCCGCCGCAGUAA
This 515-nucleotide ribosomal RNA is filed under the name uncultured bacterium. Its description in RNAcentral is "partial 16S ribosomal RNA". It matches the Rfam family "Bacterial small subunit ribosomal RNA", at positions 28 to 523 of the family's 1533-position model. The record is from RNAcentral.